CACGUCGUUCAGUCGAAAUUCAGUCGUAGUCGAGACGCCGGAGUAUUUUAAUACAAAAAAAAAAAGAAAAAUAUAACAGGGCUCGUUUCACACGUACUACGGGGAUCGUCAACUGAUAAUAAUAUUCUUAUCGUAUAUUAUAAUAUUUUUUUUUAUCUAUCUAUCUAUCUAUCUUUGUUUUAUCUCCAAUUUUAUAAAUAAAUUUUGCGCUAACAUUUCGAGAAUUUAUCUCGGGUUUUGAUUUCUUUUAUUGGUAAUAUUUGUAAUAUUUGAUAAAUACAAUUCGCGAAAUAAUUCAAAGGGUUUUCCGUCAUUUUCGUAAUCAUCAUCGUCACGUCUUUUGGCAACUUUGGCAUCAUUGGCAUCAUCGUCAUCAUCUUUGUGAAGAGAACGAGACGAGGAUGUUCAGAAGGUGUUGUAUCUUGACAGAUAUUUCACUUCGUACUGGAAAACUUCCAUAUUUAAUAUAAUCGUCCUAAAAAACGUGAACAAAGGAUUGAAACUCUCUCUCUCUCUUUCUCUCCCUCUCUUUUCCUUUUCAUCGUCAUUCAAAUAAAAGAAGAGAGAAAAUGACUCGCGGUUGCUUUUUACGAGAUGGAAAGAAGAAAAAGAAGAAGAAGAAAGAAAGAAAGAAAGAAGGAAUCAAGAACGAUGAUAACACUUUGACGGCUUCGAAGUAUUAUCCACCUGCGACGACGGCUCUUGCAAACUAACUGUGGUGGUGGCAGUAAGGACCAAAUAAAAGGGACAAAGAAAAUGGUUCUGAAAGAAGAGAACUUUGGGCAUAGACCUAAAAAUUUAACAGCAUUCACCACCGGAGGAGAUGAACCAGAAAGAGCACAGUAGAGUUAAGGACGCUCGGGAAGACAUAACCUCCUCUUACGAAAAAGAUGAAAAAAUAAAAAGGAAAAAAAAAUGGCUUUGAGGAGGGAGGGGAGGAUUGAAGAGAAGAAAGAGAGAGAGAGAGAAAGAAAAGACCGUUAGGAAGAAAAAAGAAGCAUAAUGCAGAGAAAAAGAUGGACACGUAAAGAAGAGAAUUCAAAGAUGGCGCGUAAAUGGUGCAUAGGUGGCACGCAAGUCGCGCUGGCGAUGCUGCUGCUGUUGCUGCUAUUGGUGGGGUGGUUUGUGGUGGGGUGUGGGGUACAAACUAACACCCUCCCCACCAUCACGAAAGCACACGGCGCAGAAAGAAGUGCCGUUGAAGCUGAGCAGUGAGCGAACGCAAAGCAAGAAAUCAGUCGCGCGCUGAACGUCGUUAUCUAUGUUUCCCGAGACGAGAAGAAGAAGAAAAAGAAGAAGAAUUUCACGGUGCAAAAUCGUGAAGCAGAACGCGAGAAUGGUGACGUUGAAAGAAGAGAGAAAAAGAAGAAGGUGAAGAAGUAGAAGAAGAACAUGGAGGAGGAGGAGGAGGAGGAUAGGAGGAGGGGUGGAUUGAAACGCGGCUUUUCUCGAACGGUUUUUGCAACCACGAAUGACGAUGAGAUGACUAUGGAUGACGAUGAUGAUUGUUCAUCGUCAAUGAAAGAAUAAACUUUUGGUUAUUUCCUGUUCUCUGAGUGUGUCUACGUUCUUUCGGAAAUUAAAACGCGUGCCCAAAGCCCCUUAUCAUUCUCCUGUCCGGUGUACAACCGUCAAACGACUGGACGGAGAACUGAUAAGGGCCCGAGGGUCACAGAAUCAUCCAUGAAGAGAAAGAAAAUUCCAUAGAUGUUUAAAAUGGCGUCGUCGUCGUCGUCGUGUUAUAUGUUCCCGGAAGAAGAUAGACGAAGAAAAGGGUUAGAAACUAGUAUCGGUUAAGAAACAUAAAUGAAAUAGCAAUAAUACAACAUGUAUAAUAGUAAUAUUAUUUAUAUAUUUUUUUUCAUAUUAUCAGUCCCACAAUAAAAGGGAAGAUUCAUCUGAGAAAAUGAAUGAUGAUAGAAAAAAAUGUACUUUGUUCAUUGUAGUAUUAAAAAAUGUGCGCAUAUAGGCGAAUAAA
Polistes dominula (European paper wasp) is the source of this 1978-nucleotide long non-coding RNA. RefSeq lists it as uncharacterized. Lineage: Eukaryota; Metazoa; Arthropoda; Insecta; Hymenoptera; Vespidae. The record is from RefSeq and is a predicted model, not a curated record.